Molecule: ribosomal RNA, 507 nt
Filed under: Amathia evelinae
Lineage: Eukaryota; Metazoa; Bryozoa; Gymnolaemata; Ctenostomatida; Vesiculariidae
Description: partial 16S ribosomal RNA
Rfam family: Bacterial large subunit ribosomal RNA
Source: RNAcentral
AACAUAGCCUCCAGAAAAUANUAGAGGUAAAACCUGCCCAGUGACCAUAAGGUUCAACGGACGCGUUAAGUGCUAAGGUAGCGAAAUAAAUUGUCCUCUCAUUAGGGACCAGUAUGAAAGGUACUACGAGGCUCAACUGUCUCCUCUUAUAAAAAUAAAAUUAAUCACCAAGUGAAAAAGCUUGGAUAAAAUUGAUGGACGAGAAGACCCUAUAGAGUUUAAGUAAGCCAAACGGUAAAGAAAACAAAAGAAAAAGAUAUUCGUAAAAGCAAGCUUUGAUUGGGGAAUUCUAGGAAAAAGAAAAUUCUUAAAAGUACAAGUUUACAAUAAUAAACAACAAGAACCUCAAAGAGAAAAAAGAAAAACUACCUUAGGGAUAACAGCGUAAUUUUUCUUAAGAGACCUAAUUGAAAGAAAAGUUUGCGACCUCGAUGUUGGACUAAGGCACCCAAAAGAUGCAGCAGUCUUUAAAGGUGAGCCUGUUCGGCUCAAAAAGCCUUACAUGAU